Long non-coding RNA from Acipenser ruthenus (sterlet), 3339 nucleotides. RefSeq lists it as uncharacterized. NCBI's taxonomy places the organism in Eukaryota, Metazoa, Chordata, Actinopteri, Acipenseriformes, Acipenseridae. The transcript has 4 exons. The record is from RefSeq and is a predicted model, not a curated record.
CUCUCUUUUUUGCAUGAGUCGUUUUGCUCUUAUCCAACCAGUUCGCGAUUCUUCCUGUUGGUCCUGUUACCAUGACUACUUCAUUAAAAUCAACGAGAGCAGUAUGUCCUGCCUGCAGUCCAUUGGAUAAAUGGGCUGUCUUAAUGUGCUGCUUUAAAAGCCGGCUGCUGGAUGGUAAUCGUGUGUGCCCUUGACCGUAAUGAAAUUGUGUUUGUGAACGCCAGGGAAAGAGAGAGCGCUUUUUUUUUUUUUUGCUUGUUUAGUUAGUUUUGUUCAUAGCGUUUAUUGCAGUUUGAUUGGAAAACGAAUUGUUCUACCCACGAAUGAAUUGACCAGCGGAAGAGUCGUGAUCCGUUUAUGACUGCUGUUUGUGCAGCUACCAGCUAAAGUAUUGACUUCAACAGGAUUAUCCUCAGCUUACUUUCCACACACCAUAUUCCCGGAAUGUUAGUGAACUGGUCUUCAGUGAAACAGUGUCUAGCUGUGCUCUACUCGGCAGCAGAUUCUGUACAACAUCAGAGAUGAGCACAGAAACAGAAACAACAUCCAGUGAGGAGGAUGCUGAUGUUGAUACACCUGUCUUCCAGCCCAGUCAAGGAGCUCCAGCAUCAAUUAGCUCUACUCCUGAUGCUGAUGUAACCAGGACUCUUUUCAAUGCUGCCCUAAUGGUGAGAAGUGCCCUGGAGAAUACUCCUGGCAUCAGUGCUCCAUGGCCACCUACAUGAUUUUACAGUGGAUUCUGCAAAGGCAGCUAUUCCCAUUUAACUGUACAACAUUCUUGCUUGGAUGGUAGGAGCAACAAAUGAACCCACGCUGGCAAAUUAUGUUGAUGUACCCAAUGAUGUGACUGUGAAGCUGGUGUCUCUCGGCCAAGAUAUUGUGUACCUCACUUCUAAAGGUCGAAAGCAGACACCAAAGUCCCUUGGGCUGACAACUCGUCAUCUCAAUGGAUCCUCCCAGUUGUUAUCUGUAGUCGGCAAAUUAGGGCAUUGUGCAUCAUGUGACACGGUUAUCAGGUAUGAUACAAGCCUUGCUGAGUUGCAGCUUUCUGAGGGUGCAGAGAAAAUCCCUCCAGGAUUCACAGAGAGUACUCCAACCAUUCUAGUUUGGGACACUAUUGACUUUGGUGAGGAAAAUCUAUCAGGUCGUGGCACAACGCACCACACCAAUCGAAUCAUGCUGCAAAAUAACACCCAGGGGUCUGCACAGACAACUGAUAGACAACCUCUGCAGAAGGGAAUUAGCUCCCUCAAACUUCCACUUGCUGUUCCCAUGGAACCAUACCUUCAGCAGAAGAAGGGACCUGGAAACCUGUGUCUAGAUCAGAACAUUCCAUUAACAAAUGACUACUACAAAUCAAAAGUUUCAUCAAUGCUUCAAAUAGAGAUGGCAUAUGUUGUUAUGAAGUUUGCGGCUGGUGAUUUGUGCACAUUGCCAGAGUGGACAGGAUUCUGUAGUUUAGUUCAGCAGAAGAAUAUUGUCUCAAAGUCCUACAGAGAUGGCUAAUGUAAAUACCAUUCUAAAUCGAAGUUUAGAGAUCGCUGAUCAACUUGAUUUGGAUCACAUUGUCCUGGUUUUCUAUCAAGCAAUAUACUUCAAGGCCCAGCAGAUCCGUUGGAAGGAGGAAAUUUUAACAAGACGUUUGGUGGUACGUCUUGGACAAUUUCACACCUGUAUGACAUUCCUCUGUGUAUUUGGUAAAAGAUUUGGUGAUGGAGGGCUUCGAGAUAUACUGAUGGAGUCUGCGGUGGUUGCUCAGGGAUCAAUCAAUGCAUUAUUGAGUGGCCAUCACUAUAAUCGCAGCAUGAGAGCACACAAACUCUUGAGGCAUUCUUUGCAUGUGGAGUUCGUCCGUACCAGCUAUGGAAAGGACACAGUGAAGCUUCUGCAUAUCAGACGAGAGGGGAAACACCAUUACAUUAAAGAAAUUCAGGUGGACGUUGAACUGUCUUUGAAAACAUGGAAAGACUACCUUGACGGUUAUAACUCAUCAUUCUUACUGACACCAUCAAAAACUCUGUCCACGCCUUAGCAAAACUUGUAUAAAUUGUAUUGGGCUUGUGAUCAUAACUGGAAUGUAAGCUGGGGUCAGCUGAAAAUGCUUAGCUUACAUUAAUUAGUCUCUUCAGAAUCAUAAAUGUGUUCUGGGUUUGCAGGCAGCACUGUAAUUAAAUCGCUGGCCCUUUGGUCCCAUUGCACUUGCAUUUCUCAAUUCAUGUAUUCUGUAAUUCUGCUAUGAUAGUAUCUUUAAGUUGUAUCAUAUCCCCGUGGAUAAACAAAAAAUAAUACACUAUUACCUCACUCUGCCUAUCUAACUAUACCAAGUCAUUUAGAACCUGCUGCUUCUAUUGCAUUCCAAGCCCUUCCAAAGCCCUUCCCAUACUACUAUUUUCACUGAGCUCUUUUUAGGCAGAUCCAGACUUUGGAAGAAUUCUCUGGGGACGUGUGUGACUACUUCUUGUCCUCUUUCAAACAUGUUACACGUGUGAAGGUUAACAUCGACAAGGCACAAUGGACACGUUUGGAGAAGAGCCCCCUGUGGUCCAUGGUGGAAUAAAAUACAUGAAAGUUCUGAAAAGCACCCAGAGCGGGUUUGAAGGCUUUGUCAAAGACCGGUUUACCACUCUACCUGAAGUACGGGACCGCUGCUUCUGCACGAUGGUGUACGCAAAAUGGCACUACAACAAACUGAGCAAUGUCACCUUCGAUGCAGUAUGGUAAUCUACACUUGCACAGAUGACUUACUUAAGAUAAGAAGGUUGUACCACAACUCGGUGACUGCUGCCAUCAAAUUAGCCCAAGGGGUCACCGGAAUCUUUAGAAAGUACAGCUUUAAUUAACUAAAUAUUAUUUAUUGUGUACCAGGAUCAUUUUGUGAGCUUGAAAAUAAUAUGUGGCCUUGUAAAUGAAUGCAUCACAAGGAGCAAAUGUAUGUAUUACUACUUCUUUUUAGACAAUAGUGUCAGUAUCAAUGAAGUUCUUAGGCAUUUCUGUGUUUGUUUUAGAAUUAAAAUGGAAUAUUUUGCAAAUAGCAGUCAUUUAGCAAAAUAAUUUCUUUUUUCAGUAGCCAAGGUUAAUGAAUUAAAUUUUGAAUAUUAAAGUAAUCCUUUUUUAAAGGAAUCCUUUUAGAAUCCAAUGUAUAAACAAAAAUGAAUAACGUCUGUAAUGAAUAUGUUUCAAGUUUUUAUAAUCUGUUUUUAGUGGCUUUUUAAGGACAGUGGAAACUCAAUUAGCCACAUAUGAACAUUUCCAUGUUAGUUCUUUAACAGUACUGGUUUGUUUUUACAUACAAAAAUGUUUUUAAAAAAUGUUUAAACUGAAUUAAAAACACUGAAGUAA